GCCGGGGUGGUGAAAUUGGUAGACACGCUGGAUUCAAAAUCCAGUGGCUUCGGUCGUGCCGGUUCGACUCCGGCCCUCGGUACCA
Molecule: transfer RNA, 85 nt
Filed under: Mariprofundus ferrooxydans
Lineage: Bacteria; Pseudomonadati; Pseudomonadota; Candidatius Mariprofundia; Mariprofundales; Mariprofundaceae
Also listed under: 2 other names
Description: tRNA-Leu
Rfam family: tRNA
About the family: Transfer RNA (tRNA) molecules are approximately 80 nucleotides in length. Their secondary structure includes four short double-helical elements and three loops (D, anti-codon, and T loops).
Source: RNAcentral